RNAcentral lists this long non-coding RNA (286 nucleotides) under Gadus morhua (Atlantic cod). RNAcentral's name for it is "lncRNA (ENSGMOG00000022513.1)". Lineage: Eukaryota; Metazoa; Chordata; Actinopteri; Gadiformes; Gadidae. The record is from RNAcentral.
AGUGUGGCUCCCAGGUCGGAGAAGCACAAUAGACCGACCAUCCCCACGGGAGUACCCGUGUAAUCCACGAUAAAACCGGGAAAACUAACCAGCAAGGCCAAACGCACAGAAGUCGCUUCAAAUGAACGGCUUUUACAGACAAACGGUGAACUUUGUUCAGGUCAAGUUGAUCCUCGUUUUCCUGCUUCGAUCAAACAGAGACGCUGAGGCACCACCAACCCCCAACUCCCACCGUAACUCAAUCACAGGGAUGAGGUCCCUGGUGAAGGAGGCCUGGAAGGUGUGG